GUCCGGUUAGUCUAGUGGUUAAGACACCGCCCUUUCACGGCGGUAACAGGGGUUCAAAUCCCCUACCGGAUG
RNAcentral lists this transfer RNA (72 nucleotides) under Caudoviricetes sp. RNAcentral describes it as "tRNA-Glu". It matches the Rfam family "tRNA". Rfam says of the family: Transfer RNA (tRNA) molecules are approximately 80 nucleotides in length. Their secondary structure includes four short double-helical elements and three loops (D, anti-codon, and T loops). Further hydrogen bonds mediate the characteristic L-shaped molecular structure. tRNAs have two regions of fundamental functional importance: the anti-codon, which is responsible for specific mRNA codon recognition, and the 3' end, to which the tRNAs corresponding amino acid is attached (by aminoacyl-tRNA synthetases). tRNAs cope with the degeneracy of the genetic code in two manners: having more than one tRNA (with a specific anti-codon) for a particular amino acid; and 'wobble' base-pairing, i.e. permitting non-standard base-pairing at the 3rd anti-codon position. The record is from RNAcentral. Lineage: Duplodnaviria; Heunggongvirae; Uroviricota; Caudoviricetes.